GAUGAACGCUGGCGGCAUGCCUAACACAUGCAAGUCGAUCGGUAAGGCUCUUCGGAGUACACGAGAGGCGGACGGCUGAGUAACGCGUAGGAACACACCCUGCAGUGAGGGAUAAGACACCGAAAGGUGUUCUAAUACCGCAUACGUUCUUCGGAUUAAAGCAUUUAUGCGCUGAAGGAGUGGCCUGCGUCAUAUUAGAUAGUUGGUGAGGUAAUGGCUCACCAAGUCGAUGAUCUGUAGCUGGUCUGAGAGGAUGAUCAGCCAGACUGGAACUGAGACACGGUCCAGACUACUACGGGAGGCAGCAGUGAGGAAUAUUUCACAAUGAGCGAUAGCUUGAUGGAGCAAUGCCGCGUGCAGGAUGAAGGCCCUCGGGUUGUAAACUGCUUUUAUAAGAGAAGAUUAUGACGGUAACUUAUGAAUAAGGGACGGCUAACUACGUG
RNAcentral lists this ribosomal RNA (443 nucleotides) under uncultured bacterium. RNAcentral's name for it is "partial 16S ribosomal RNA". It matches the Rfam family "Bacterial small subunit ribosomal RNA", at positions 28 to 507 of the family's 1533-position model. The record is from RNAcentral.